This 416-nucleotide unclassified non-coding RNA is filed under the name Luetzelburgia harleyi. RNAcentral's name for it is "partial contains external transcribed spacer and 18S ribosomal RNA". Lineage: Eukaryota; Viridiplantae; Streptophyta; Magnoliopsida; Fabales; Fabaceae. The record is from RNAcentral.
CAUCGAACGGUUGGCGCGCAACCCUCCUCAGUAAACAUCACGCUCCGUUGUGGGCUGGGUGUUCGUUUGCGGUUCCUGUGUUGCGUUCCUCUCUAAUGGCAUUCGUGGUGGCUUGCGAAGACCCUUUCCGUCCAAGGCCUCCUUUGGAGGGUCGUUGGAGGAUUUCAAAGUAGUGCUCGUGCCCCCGGUUUGUCGAACGGCUAACGCGGCUCACGAGUAUCUAUUGGCCUCUUGGAUGCGGUGCAUGCGGCGAACGCGGGUGCGUUGCCCCGUCGUGUCCCCUUCAAUUUUUCGGUUGGCUCGAAUGACGCGUGCCAUCGAGCUUGCUUUGCCCGCCUCUCUCGAGCGGCAAUGCUCGCACGGUGUCGCACUGUCACGAGAGGAUGCUACCUGGUUGAUCCUGCCAGUAGUCAUAU